AAGUGACCAAUCCUAUUCAUACUGUGGGCCAGGAGAGGAAAAUCAAUAUCUGUUGGAGAAUCUGAAGAGCCAAAUCUCCUGAGCCUGGGCCUACUGCUGUCAGCGUCUCUGAGACCUCUCUCACCUGAGAAUUACCAGGUCUCACAACACUUUCCGUCCAGCCUACAGUGAGGGAUGUCAACAAAGCUACAGAAAACUCACAUUUUCUAGACUUACAAGCUGUGCAGCUGGGCAGGAACCUUAUAAUCUCCAUCCUUAGGGAAGGUUCAGAAAUAUAGACAAAUGGGAUGAAAACUCGGAUAUGCUGAGCCUGAUAUAUACAAAAGCCUUCAGAUAGUCUCCUCAAGGAAGAGCCCAAUUAGGUCCACAUAAUUAGUCCACACAUCUAGAUUAGGUAUAGGCAAAACGAGCCCUUUCUCCAUCUACCAAAACAGAGCAAAAGACUGACAUAAUACUGUAAAAGAUUCUUGUUCUAAUAACAGUAUUAUAAUGCAGUUUCACCCAUAUUUAUUUUAAUCCGUAUAAAAGUAGGAGUGUGGAAAAUAAAACAUUACUUAUAUUUUUGAAAAUUGAUUAA
Molecule: long non-coding RNA, 577 nt
Organism: Piliocolobus tephrosceles (Ugandan red Colobus)
Lineage: Eukaryota; Metazoa; Chordata; Mammalia; Primates; Cercopithecidae
Source: Ensembl